Penaeus monodon (black tiger shrimp) is the source of this 1122-nucleotide long non-coding RNA. RefSeq lists it as uncharacterized. The record is from RefSeq and is a predicted model, not a curated record. The transcript is spliced from 3 exons. NCBI's taxonomy places the organism in Eukaryota, Metazoa, Arthropoda, Malacostraca, Decapoda, Penaeidae.
CACACACACACACACCGCGUCUACAUAUGUGAUGGCAGGAGAGGUUCCUCAAUCUAGGAGGAAGCGUCCAGCGGAAAUAGACGUCUUGUUGGCACUUGGCGUAGAGCAUGUAAUAUGGUCACUGUACUGGACGGCUGACCAAGUUAUUUUGCUUGUGGAGAGGAUCGUGAAAAAAAUGCAGCUCCGCUCUGCGCAAGGAUUUUCAUUUCAGAUUUCUUCGUAGCUAAGGAAGUAUUCCGCUCUGUAAAAGGAUCCCUGGACAGAAUAGACUAGUGUGACCACACUUUAAGAGUCCCCCGAAAUCAUGGAUCUUGAUCUUGGAGACCCCAAGACCCAAGGGCUUUGCCUCAUUGCUGAAUCCACCAAGAGCCACCAUCAGCGAUUCCAGAGACUCAUAUAGGAUAGCAACAUCGUCAGCAAAGUCAAGGUUAUUGACCUCUACAUAUUUAGUUUAUAACAAUAGGACCAAAGACGGCGUGGUUAUUGAUUUCUUCCUCCGAGCACUUAGAAUCUGCAGCCUGGAGUUCCUGGAGGAGGAAAUGCAACACGUCAGCAACACCUUCCAACGCCUCCGUUACCCUCGCGCCUUGCACACCCCCUCCGACGCAGGGCCGAAAAGAUCGUGACCAGAUCAAGAUCACCAGGAGACCUUGAUGGGCCGCCCAAUGAAGAUAGCUACCACUGCUGGCAAGAAGAUCGGAAAUAUCUAAGGGGAAAGAGGUCAGACCACUACACUCCUCUUAGCCAGGUGUACAGCAUACCUUGCGGUGGCUGUGAUAAAGUAUACAUAGACGAGGUCUCCACAAACAACGCAUCGACCAUCACCGCAGAGCUCUACGACUUCAUGACUACAGGAGCGCCUUCGUUGUUCGCGUCGACACCGAUGACCAUCUCCCCAAGUGGUCCUAGGCCUCCAUCAUAAAACAAGGCUUGUCCCCGCGACAAAGGAAAAUGGUAAAAGCGGCGUUCAUCCAUUCAACCAACAAUUUCAACACCGCAACGGGAGCCACGAACUAGCCAAAGACGUCGCACGCCUAAGUACCGACGUUACCUGACCGCUCAGUACAUGUAUAUAUUGCCUCAGUAUAUCUCUUGUCUUGUAUGGUCUCAAGAUGCAGUAAA